This 174-nucleotide ribosomal RNA is filed under the name Canis lupus (wolf). Its description in RNAcentral is "partial small subunit ribosomal RNA". Lineage: Eukaryota; Metazoa; Chordata; Mammalia; Carnivora; Canidae. The record is from RNAcentral.
AGAUAUUUUACACAAAAUAAUUCGCCAGAGGACUACUAGCAAUAGCUUAAAACUCAAAGGACUUGGCGGUGCUUUAUAUCCCUCUAGAGGAGCCUGUUCUAUAAUCGAUAAACCCCGAUAAACCUCACCACCUUUCGCUAAUUCAGUCUAUAUACCGCCAUCUUCAGCAAACGG